UCCGCCGUCUCUUCCUUGUGCAUAGGGCUCUCAAGAGAAUGAGGUAUCCGUUAGAAAAGUCCAAACAUAGGUUUCUCACACGUUUCACAACUUCAGCCUCCCCUCCUCCCCAACAAAGAAGAAAAGUCCUUGGGCUCACUGAAUAUAUAGAUAUGUAAUAAUUGCCAGGAGCGAUGGUGGAUGCCAAAAUUUCGAGUCUCUGCCACUGUAGAGUCUCCUAGCCUGCUGCUUCCCCGAAACUCUCGUCUCUCCCCUCUCACAUACAGUAUCCUUUGGGCUUCUUCGUCUCGACGGUUGUCCUAAGGCAUAACUUGGUCCAAGAUCUCAAGAUUCAUGGAGCGCAAUCUUUGACUUCCACUUCAACACCUACGUUUAGAAAUGGGGGAAUCUGGUUAGGGGCCAUGAAAAUUCUGAUGGAAUUAACGGUUGCAUUUCGUUCAAUGAUCUUAUUUACUUCCAAAAUAGCCUGAAGAACAAGAAGAGAAUUGGAACGAUAAACCCACUAGAGAUUCAUUCAGUAGAUAUCUUUUUGCAACUUCCCAUACGAUGCAUAACACGGAAAUAAAAUGCAUACAAUGUGUUUCAACAUUCGCAGUUCACGGUGAAGUCGUAAGCAACCUUUUGAUGUCUUGUGAUGUGAUGCAUUGUUAUCAGCACCGCCUCGUCAACCACCGCAUCCACCGCCGCCGCCAUCACCCAUCGUCAUCGUUGUCAUUGCUGCUGUGGUUGUGGCAAUCAUCACGAACAUCAUUCUCCACGUCAUCUCCUGGAAUUUCCCCCUUACUAUUGCCACCAUCACUCCCAUCGCCACCGCCGCUCGCACAAUCUUCGCAGUCCGCACAACCCCCCUCGUUGUCGUCGCAACUGCGCUUAACACAGGCAGAGAUAAGGAUGAGUAUGAGAAUACCGACGAUUGUAACAAUAACAGUUAGAUUCAUCUCUCCGUUCACCCGACCCUGAAGCCGUGGA
RNAcentral lists this long non-coding RNA (969 nucleotides) under Spirodela polyrhiza (greater duckweed). Its description in RNAcentral is "long non-coding RNA (SPOL_LNC000810)". Lineage: Eukaryota; Viridiplantae; Streptophyta; Magnoliopsida; Alismatales; Araceae. The record is from RNAcentral.